This 821-nucleotide ribosomal RNA is filed under the name Chaetosphaeriaceae sp. RNAcentral's name for it is "partial large subunit ribosomal RNA". It matches the Rfam family "Eukaryotic large subunit ribosomal RNA", at positions 77 to 930 of the family's 3401-position model. Lineage: Eukaryota; Fungi; Ascomycota; Sordariomycetes; Chaetosphaeriales; Chaetosphaeriaceae. The record is from RNAcentral.
GCCUCAGUAACGGCGAGUGAAGCGGCAACAGCUCAAAUUUGAAAUCUGGCCUUCGGGUCCGAGUUGUAAUUUGCAGAGGAUGCUUCCGGCGCGGCGCCUUCCAAGUCCCCUGGAACGGGGCGCCAUAGAGGGUGAGAGCCCCGUCGGGUCGGCCGCCAAGCCUAUGUGAAGCUCCUUCGACGAGUCGAGUAGUUUGGGAAUGCUGCUCUAAAUGGGAGGUAGACCCCUUCUAAAGCUAAAUACCGGCCAGAGACCGAUAGCGCACAAGUAGAGUGAUCGAAAGAUGAAAAGCACUUUGAAAAGAGGGUUAAACAGUACGUGAAAUUGUUGAAAGGGAAGCGCUUGUGACCAGACGCGCGCCGGGGUGCUCAGCAGGCGUUCUCGCCUGUGCACUCGCCCCGGCGCGGGCCAGCGUCGGUUCGGAUGGGGGGAUAAAGGCGUUGGGCACGUAGCUCCUCCGGGAGUGUUAUAGCCCAGCGUGCCAUGCUCCCGUCCGGACCGAGGUUCGCGCUCCGCAAGGACGCUGGCGUAAUGGUCCCCAGCGGCCCGUCUUGAAACACGGACCAAGGAGUCGAGGUUUUACGCGAGUGUCUGGGUGUCAAACCCGCACGCGUAAUGAAAGUGAACGCAGGUGGGAGCUUCGGCGCACCACCGACCGAUCCUGAUGUUCUCGGAUGGAUUUGAGUAGGAGCGUAGGGCCUCGGACCCGAAAGAUGGUGAACUAUACGUGGAUAGGGUGAAGCCAGAGGAAACUCUGGUGGAGGCUCGCAGCGGUUCUGACGUGCAAAUCGAUCGUCAAAUCUGCGUAUGGGGGCGAAAGA